UCCCCACGCGUUUCUUGCCUCAGCGUCAGUUACAGGCUACAUAAGCUGCCUACKCAAUCGGUGUUCUUGAAGAUAUCUAAGCAUUUYWCCGCUACAUCUUCAAUUCCGCCUACCUCGUCUGUACUCAAGCCCCCCAGUAUCAAUGGCAGUUCCSCGGUUGAGCCGCGGGSUUUCUCCACUGACUUAAGGGGCCGCCUACGCACCCUUUAAACCCAAUAAAUCCGGAAAACGCUUGCACCCUCCGUAUUACCGCGGCUGCUGGCACGGARUUAGCCGGKGCUUAUUCCCCAGGKACCGUCAGUUCCCCACGCAUGGGUGUUUUCUUCCCUGGUAAAAGCAGUUUACAACCCAUAAGGCCUUCAUCCUGYACGCGGCAUGGCUGGGUCAGGCUUCCGCCCAUUGCCCAAUAUUCCCUACUGCUGCCUCCCGUAC
RNAcentral lists this ribosomal RNA (432 nucleotides) under uncultured bacterium. Its description in RNAcentral is "partial 16S ribosomal RNA". The record is from RNAcentral.